AGAUCUAGGGGGGCCCCUGCUCGCUCCACCAAGGUGUAUAAAACUUCUGAGAUAGUAGCGUUGUUACAAAACCUACCAUCGGUGGCGCUGUGAUAGCGAUUCCGGAGGCUUUGGUAGGGGGGGGGGGAGGAUUAAAAUGUAGGUGAGGUAUAUAUUCGUUGUGGUGAGGAAUUUGCUCCGCAGAUCCAAAGAUCCUAUAGAUGGACCACUCCUGCGAAAAACAAUCGGCAAUGUAGGCAAUGAAGGCAAUGUAGGCAAUGAAGGCAACCCGACUUGUCUUUCUUCAGGUUCCCCAUUAAGGAGGAAAGAUGUCGACAGUGGGUCCAGAAUACUCGCCGACAUGAUCUCCUACACCGAACUGCAGACUAUUUGUCAAAUAACUGCCGUCUUAUGUACAUUGCCACUUUCAUUUCACUGCACAUCUCGUAUGUGUAUGUGACAAAUAAACUUGACUUGACUUGACUUGUGUGAAAUUGUGAUUUGUUAACUGCACAAAACAAUGCAAAUGGCGAUUUAUUUAUUAUUGUAUCUACGUUGGACGUUUUGCUCUUUGGUGUAAGCAGGGGUAGGGCUAUCAUUGUGUUACAUACGUUGAAUUGUACAUCACUUUCACUGGUUAGCUGAUAUGCUGAACACUGCAACCCUGUAUAUCUCGCGCACAGAAUAAUGUCAGUUAUGUAAAUCUUACCCUGCAUGGCAGAAAUAAAAUGUGUUAACCAUGUUAAUUUCUAUUAUGAAUUAUUUAAAAUUGAGUGGGUUGGUGCAAUAUUGGUGCCAUUCUUCUGCAGUUGUAUAGUGCUCUGGUGAUACAACAUCUGGAGUAUUGUGUACAGUUUUGUUCUCCUAAUUUGAGGAAGGACAUCCUUGUGAUUGAGGCAGUGCAGCGUAGGUUCACGAGAUUGAUCCCUGGGCUGGCGGGACUGUCAUAUGAGGAAAGAUUGAAAAGACUAGACUUGUAUUCACUGGAGUAUAGAAGGAUGAGGGGGUAUCUUAUAGAAACAUAUAAAAUUAUAAAAGGACUGGACAAGCAAGAUGCAGGAAAAAUGUUCCCGAUGUUGAGCGAGUCCAGAACCAGGGGCCACAGGCAUAGAAUAAAGGGGAGGUCAUUUAAGACUGAGGUGAGAAAAAACUUUUUCACCCAGAGAGUUGUGAAUUUAUGGAAUUCUCUGCCACAGAGGGCGGUGGAGGCCAAGUCACUAGAUGGAUUUAAAAGAGAGUUAGAUAGAGCUCUAGGGGUUAGUGGGGUCAAGGAAUAUGCGGAGAAGGCAGGCACGGGUUAUUGAUAAGGGACGAUCAGCCAUGAAUGCCUCCUCCUGCACCUAUUUCUAUGUUUCUAUGCUGCUGCCAUUAUCAGAUAUUCAGUGUUAAAAAGAGAAAUAAAUCACAAUAAAAGCGAAAAGGUGUUCCUUCCACAGCAUUCAGAUCAGCACGGCUGAGACACCGGAGUGAAGUUGCGGGGAGGUUUACAAUGUUUUUUAAUUUAAUGUCCCUUGUCUAGUCUGAAAUAAAGUUCCAUCAUUGGAUAUAAAAAUCGGAAGAAAUGUAAAUGUGUGUGUUAUUAUUAUAUACAGCUAUAUCACAUUCAUGUAUGUGUUUUCUUUCCAGCACAAUCUAAUCAGUUGUAUGCUCGCUGAAUAAAACCAUCCUUAAGUUAUA
This is a long non-coding RNA of Leucoraja erinaceus (little skate), 1656 nucleotides long. RefSeq lists it as uncharacterized. The transcript has 2 exons. The record is from RefSeq and is a predicted model, not a curated record. NCBI's taxonomy places the organism in Eukaryota, Metazoa, Chordata, Chondrichthyes, Rajiformes, Rajidae.